GCCUGGGUAGCUCAGUCGGUUGAGCGUCCGAUUUCAGCUCAGGUCAUGAUCUCACAGCUCGUGAGUUCAAGCCCCUCAUCAGGCU
Molecule: transfer RNA, 85 nt
Organism: Felis catus (domestic cat)
Lineage: Eukaryota; Metazoa; Chordata; Mammalia; Carnivora; Felidae
Rfam family: tRNA
About the family: Transfer RNA (tRNA) molecules are approximately 80 nucleotides in length. Their secondary structure includes four short double-helical elements and three loops (D, anti-codon, and T loops).
Source: Rfam